Molecule: ribosomal RNA, 253 nt
Filed under: uncultured bacterium
Lineage: Bacteria
Description: partial 16S ribosomal RNA
Rfam family: Bacterial small subunit ribosomal RNA
Source: RNAcentral
UACGGGGGGGGCAAGCGUUGUUCGGAAUUACUGGGCGUAAAGAGCUCGUAGGCGGCUUGUCACGUCGGGUGUGAAAGCUCGGGGCUUAACCCCGGGUCUGCAUUCGAUACGGGCUGGCUGGAGUGUGGUAGGGGAGAUCGGAAUUCCUGGUGUAGCGGUGAAAUGCGCAGAUAUCAGGAGGAACACCGGUGGCGAAGGCGGAUCUCUGGGCCAUUACUGACGCUGAGGAGCGAAAGCGUGGGGAGCGAACAGG